CGGACCAUAAAAAAAGGUGCACAACAAGAGGGUAGCAGUAUAUCUCUCUUGCCACACAACAAAUGGUGAGGUGGUGGCACGCUGUCAUCAUUAGCAACAUGGAUGAGGUGGUGGCGUGGUGGGCCCUUGACUACCAUCGGCCGUGUUUGAGGUGAAGGUUGGCAAAGAGCACGUAGGUCUUAGGAGUAAUAACAGGAAAUGACAAGCUCUCGCAAAGAGUUGCGAACACUAUUAUUGGAGAUCUGAGGACGAUGGCCGGACGUAACCAUGCAUGAGAUCCCACAGUUGGAAAACAAGU
RNAcentral lists this long non-coding RNA (298 nucleotides) under Setaria viridis. RNAcentral's name for it is "long non-coding RNA (SVIR_LNC011236)". Lineage: Eukaryota; Viridiplantae; Streptophyta; Magnoliopsida; Poales; Poaceae. The record is from RNAcentral.